This 914-nucleotide ribosomal RNA is filed under the name uncultured crenarchaeote. RNAcentral's name for it is "bacterial SSU rRNA". It matches the Rfam family "Archaeal small subunit ribosomal RNA", at positions 1 to 922 of the family's 1478-position model. Lineage: Archaea; Thermoproteati; Thermoproteota. The record is from RNAcentral.
UUCCGGUUGAUCCCGCCGGACCUGACUGCUAUCGGAUUGAUACUAAGCCAUGCGAGUCAUUGUAGUAAUACAAGGCAUACGGCUCAGUAACGCGUAGUCAACCUAACCUAUGGACGGGAAUAACCUCGGGAAACUGAGAAUAAUGCCCGAUAGAACACUAUACCUGGAAUGGUUUGUGUUCCAAAUGAUUUAUCGCCAUAGGAUGGGACUGCGGCCUAUCAGUUUGUUGGUGAGGUAAUGGCCCACCAAGACUAUUACAGGUACGGGCUCUGAGAGGAGUAGCCCGGAGAUGGGUACUGAGACACGGACCCAGGCCCUAUGGGGCGCAGCAGGCGAGGAAACUUUGCAAUGUGCGAAAGCACGACAAGGUUAAUCCGAGUGAUUUGUGCUAAACGAAUCUUUUGUUAGUCCUAGAAACACUAACGAAUAAGGGGUGGGCAAGUUCUGGUGUCAGCCGCCGCGGUAAAACCAGCACCUCAAGUGGUCAGGAUGAUUAUUGGGCCUAAAGCAUCCGUAGCCGGCUCUGUAAGUUUUCGGUUAAAUCUGUACGCUUAACGUACAGGCUGCCGGGAAUACUGCAGAGCUAGGGAGUGGGAGAGGUAGACGGUACUCGGUAGGAAGUGGUAAAAUGCUUUGAUCUAUCGAUGACCACCUGUGGCGAAGGCGGUCUACCAGAACACGUCCGACGGUGAGGGAUGAAAGCUGGGGGAGCAAACCGGAUUAGAUACCCGGGUAGUCCCAGCUGUAAACUAUGCAAACUCAGUGAUGCAUUGGCUUGUGGCCAAUGCAGUGCUGCAGGGAAGCCGUUAAGUUUGCCGCCUGGGAAGUACGUACGCAAGUAUGAAACUUAAAGGAAUUGGCGGGGGAGCACCACAAGGGGUGAAGCCUGCGGUUCAAUUGGAUUCAACGCCGGG